CGUGUAGGCGGCUCAUCAAGUCUGGUGUGAAAUCGCAGGGCUUAACCCUGCAUAUGCGCUGGAAACUGGUGGGCUUGAGUUCUUGAGGGGAAGCUGGAAUUCCAGGUGUAGGGGUGAAAUCUGUAGAUAUCUGGAAGAACACCGGUGGCGAAGGCGAGCUUCUAUCAGAGGACUGACGCUGAGGCGCGAAAGCGUGGGGAGCAAACAGGAUUAGAUACCCUGGUAGUCCACGCUGUAAACGAUGUGCACUAGGCGUGGGGCCCGUACGGGUUCUGUGCCGUAGUUAACGUGUUAAGUGCACCGCCUGGGGAGUAUGCUCGCAAGGGUGAA
This 330-nucleotide ribosomal RNA is filed under the name uncultured bacterium. Its description in RNAcentral is "bacterial SSU rRNA". It matches the Rfam family "Bacterial small subunit ribosomal RNA", at positions 568 to 898 of the family's 1533-position model. The record is from RNAcentral.